Molecule: long non-coding RNA, 333 nt
Filed under: Amborella trichopoda
Lineage: Eukaryota; Viridiplantae; Streptophyta; Magnoliopsida; Amborellales; Amborellaceae
Description: long non-coding RNA (ATRI_LNC005237)
Source: RNAcentral
AGAAAUAUCUCUCUCUUGUUUAAUUGAAGGGUGUGGUUUGCAUAUGGUUGCAAGUACACCUCCAAACUUUGUCAUGAGAUGCAAUUUUCGUGUAAAAAAUUCUUAGGAUGGUGUGAGAAUCUAUUUUUAUCUCUAACUAUAAUAUUUUAAACUCUAAGAAUGGUUCAAAUCAACUAGAUCUAUAAAUACAUAAAAAAUUUGAAAAUAGAAGGUCUAGAUAAUAUGUUACAAAAUGCAUGAUUUUUACGACUUAAAAUUUCAUCCUUUUUUCUAUAUCUAUAAAGCCUUUUCUAUAUCUAUAAAGCCGGGAUGAUAAAAUUAGAUGUUUUCUAC